Molecule: ribosomal RNA, 484 nt
Filed under: uncultured bacterium
Lineage: Bacteria
Description: partial 16S ribosomal RNA
Rfam family: Bacterial small subunit ribosomal RNA
Source: RNAcentral
AUUGAACGCUGGCGGCAGGCCUAACACAUGCAAGUCGAGCGGAUGAAGGGUGCUUGCUCCUGGAUUCAGCGGCGGACGGGUGAGUAUUGCCUAGGAAUCUGCUUGGUAGUGGUUGAUAAUGUCCGGAAACGGGCGCUAAUACCGCAUACGUCCUGCGGGAGAAAGUGGGGGAGCUUCGGACCUCAUGCUAUCAGAUGAGCCUAGGCCGGAUUAGCUAGUUGGUGGGGUAAAGGCCUACCAAGGCGACGAUCCGUAACUGGUCUGAGAGGAUGAUCAGUCACACUGGAACUGAGACACGGUCCAGACUCCUACGGGAGGCAGCAGUGGGGAAUAUUGGACAAUGGGCGAAAGCCUGAUCCAGCCAUGCCGCGUGUGUGAAGAAGGUCUUCGGAUUGUAAAGCACUUUAAGUUGGGAGGAAGGGCAGUAAGUUAAUACCUUGCUGUUUUGACGGUACCAACAGAAUAAGCACCGGCUAACUUCGUG